AUUGAACGCUGGCGGCAGGCCUAACACAUGCAAGUCGAACGGUAACAGGAAGAAGCUUGCUUCUUUGCUGACGAGUGGCGGACGGGUGAGUAAUGUCUGGGAAGCUGCCUGAUGGAGGGGGAUAACUACUGGAAACGGUAGCUAAUACCGCAUAACGUCGCAAGACCAAAGAGGGGGACCUUCGGGCCUCUUGCCAUCGGAUGUGCCCAGAUGGGAUUAGCUAGUAGGUGGGGUAACGGCUCACCUAGGCGACGAUCCCUAGCUGGUCUGGGAGGAUGACCAGCCACACUGGAACUGAGACACGGUCCAGACUCCUACGGGAGGCAGCAGUGGGGAAUAUUGCACAAUGGGGGCAAGCCUGAUGCAGCCAUGCCGCGUGUAUGAAGAAGGCCUUCGGGUUGUAAAGUACUUUCAGCGGGGAGGAAGGGAGUAAAGUUAAUACCUUUGCUCAUUGACGUUACCCGCAGAAGAAGCACCGGCUAACUCCGUGCCAGCCGCCGCAGUAA
RNAcentral lists this ribosomal RNA (506 nucleotides) under uncultured bacterium. RNAcentral describes it as "partial 16S ribosomal RNA". It matches the Rfam family "Bacterial small subunit ribosomal RNA", at positions 30 to 523 of the family's 1533-position model. The record is from RNAcentral.